RNAcentral lists this small RNA (29 nucleotides) under Bombyx mori (domestic silkworm). RNAcentral's name for it is "ovarian small RNA-22463". The record is from RNAcentral. Lineage: Eukaryota; Metazoa; Arthropoda; Insecta; Lepidoptera; Bombycidae.
UAGCUAAGGAUAGCGGAGUUAGCCCCUUA